Molecule: unclassified non-coding RNA, 22 nt
Filed under: Mus musculus (house mouse)
Lineage: Eukaryota; Metazoa; Chordata; Mammalia; Rodentia; Muridae
Description: oocyte_clustered_small_RNA8882
Source: RNAcentral
UGCGAUUGGCGGCACCUCUGAG